RNAcentral lists this ribosomal RNA (250 nucleotides) under uncultured Eubacteriales bacterium. Its description in RNAcentral is "uncultured Clostridiales bacterium partial 16S ribosomal RNA". It matches the Rfam family "Bacterial small subunit ribosomal RNA", at positions 89 to 339 of the family's 1533-position model. The record is from RNAcentral. Lineage: Bacteria; Bacillati; Bacillota; Clostridia; Eubacteriales.
GAUCGAGUGGCGAACGGGUGAGUAACGCGUGGGUAACCUGCCUUAUACAGGGGGAUAACAGUUGGAAACGACUGCUAAUACCGCAUAAGCGCACAGGACCGCAUGGUCCGGUGUGAAAAACUCCGGUGGUAUAGGAUGGACCCGCGUUGGAUUAGCCAGUUGGCAGGGUAACGGCCUACCAAAGCGACGAUCCAUAGCCGGCCUGAGAGGGUGAACGGCCACAUUGGGACUGAGACACGGCCCAAACUCC